Molecule: long non-coding RNA, 1549 nt
Organism: Oncorhynchus tshawytscha (Chinook salmon)
Lineage: Eukaryota; Metazoa; Chordata; Actinopteri; Salmoniformes; Salmonidae
Source: Ensembl
CAGCAAUGAAGCCUAGCCGUAUCAGUGGCUCCAUAACAGCAACAAUUUAGAUUGUCUAUCAAUAUCCGAAAUAGACAUAAGGCCUAUGCUUUCCCAGCAGUUAACUGACUUGCCUAGUUAAAUACAUGUAAAAAAUAAAAUAAAAAACAAGAAUGGUCCACCACCCAAAGGACAUUCAUUCAACUUGGUGUGUGUGCUCGCGCACGUUAGGCUACGUUAUGUGAGCUAGCUUCCAGCUAGCUAGUCGCCCAUCUCGCCCCGUUGCAAUGGAACGUUUUCUGAUCAAGAGAAGAGUGUUGAUAGACAUUGAAAAUCCAGACCCAGGCCGUGUCUCCGAGGGGGCCAAAGAAGAAUAGGGAGAUAAGAAAGAUGAGUCGGAGAGAGAAACUCGUGAGCCACGACGUGAGGGAGCACCAGAGCAGGUCGUCGCUGCUAGCUGUGCUCCCUCUGAUUUAAACCAGUUAGUUACAUGUUAAAGAACCAAGGCGCUGUCUUCGGUGUUAUCCAGCCACAAAUGUUGAACAGCAGGAUCGCUACUUCAAUCGUAGAUGGUAUGAGGAUUACAAAUGGCUGGAAUAUUCUAUUUCAAAGGACCUAGCUUUCUGCUUUGCGUGACGCCACUUUCAACGUCCAGGAAACCAUGGUGGAGAGAAGGCGGCAUAUACCCACGAUGGCUACUAGAACUGGAAGAAAGCGACAAGUUCGUUCAAAACACUCAAUGCUAGUGUUAAGCAUAGAUAUGCAAUGAUAGCGUGGAAUGAGUGGACUAUUCAGAAAGAGUAUGGCUCAACAAUAUGCAAUGCUCUAAGUGAUGGACAUUCGAAAAUAGUCCGAGAGAACGGAGAGUAUAUAUAUAAGAGCAGUUGGAAAGUUCCUGUCCAUGCUUAAACGUUACAAAGACUACUUCGUGGACGCAUGCUGCGUGUAAAAACCUACCCGAGAAACAGAAUGGCAAACACUCGACUCAGCAACCUUGACUGCCUGUCCAUACACGCAGAAAGAACUAAUUUGCAACGAACCACAACAACAGACGCAUGUCCUUCUAUAAAACAACACUUGAUGAAGCGCGCCUGUCGGGUGGUCUGGACCAGGAUGGAACAAGAAGACGGAUGCAUAUUGUCGGCCAGUUGGCCUACAAGUAUUUUUUCAAUAGAAAUGUAAUCACUAAGAUUGUGAUGAUAGCCAGUUCGUUUUACAAGUGUGUGACACAGUUAACAGGCACAGGCUAAAUGCAUUGCACUUCUCGUUGUGGCAGCACUUUGGAUAUUAUUAAUUGCAUUUCUGACGUUGUGAUAGCCAUUUCAUCCGAAACAUUAUUACCAAUGUACAGUUGUCUGAUUAUGCAUAUGAAAUAAAUGCACUGCUUGUUGUUGUCGCAUUUUGGAUGUAUUGUGUCGUUAUUGCUGAAAGACUUCAGUGCAUGGGCGCUGUCCGGUGCUGAAGUCUGUCACCUUUGCACGUGAAAGUCGUUUUUGUCAUUGCCUUGUGGUCACUUGGGUUUAUAGCUAUUUUGUUGAAUAUUCUUUGGCUAAAUUCAAUUAAAAACUAC